UACAGAAGCCUCAAGCAUUACCCGGAUUUACUGGGCGUAAAGGGUUCGUAGGCGGUUAUAUUAGUCGGAUGUUAAAUCCUGAGGCUCAACCUCAGGCUCGCAUUCGAAACGGUAUAACUAGAAGAAGUGAGAGGUAAACAGAACUCUCGGUGUAGGGGUGAAAUCCGUUGAUAUCGAGGGGAAUACCAAAUGCGAAGGCAGUUUACUGGCACUUUCUUGACGCUGAGGAACGAAAGCGUGGGUAGCGAAUCGG
RNAcentral lists this ribosomal RNA (253 nucleotides) under uncultured bacterium. RNAcentral describes it as "partial 16S ribosomal RNA". It matches the Rfam family "Bacterial small subunit ribosomal RNA", at positions 524 to 776 of the family's 1533-position model. The record is from RNAcentral.